Molecule: long non-coding RNA, 1036 nt
Organism: Scaptodrosophila lebanonensis
Lineage: Eukaryota; Metazoa; Arthropoda; Insecta; Diptera; Drosophilidae
Exons: 2
Source: RefSeq, a predicted model, not a curated record
AAACAGAUAAUGUCCGAGGAUGUCAGACAAUUUUUGAAGAACGUUCACGGCUAAUUAUGUGUUUACAAGUAUUGGCUGCUAGGAAUAUUCAAACAAUUCCAAAUCGCCAGUCGAGUGAAAGUUAAGUGGAAGCUUAAACUCGUCCAGCAAUCCCAUUUCAAUCCAAUCGAAAACUUGUGUGACACCUAAAAAUCGAUGCAUUUCGAAUGGACUCCACUUCAUUAAGCUGCCGUUGUAUUCUAGUGCGCAAAAGUGAAACUUUUCCGAGCUGGCUAUCAUUGGCGUUAGUUCGAUUUACCGGCUGAAAAAAAUGAAAACAUUGAAAAUAAACACAUACUAUGGCAACGAGGAAACAAGCAAACGACGCCAAAAGCAAAUCAACGAAAAAAAGGGUUAAAAAAGCAAUAAAUAAAACAAGGAGCCGCGGCGACGGCUGCGCCAACAACACAGACAGAGACAACAACGGCUCCUGUUGUUGUUGUUGUGAUUGUUGUUUUUGUAAAGGGAUCAGGGAUGCGAGGCUGGGGCUGCUGCAACCCUGUGACAGGCAAAUCGCCAAACGAAUACCGUGGGGAUGUUGAUUCCAUCCGUCCGUUGUCCGCUAGGCUUCAUGUGUGCGCCUGUCUCUGUCUCUGUGUGAGUGUGAGUGUGGAAUUUUCAUUUUGUAAAUUUGUUUUGCUUGUUCCGUUUGGCUUCAUUUCCGCUUCCUUCGACCGUCUGCCAAUACCACUACAUGAUUUGUGCCUUUGCUCUCACUGAUUUUAAUGCAAAUAUCUUAGGUAUGGCCCACAAAUGAAAAAAUAGCUAUAUAGCGUACGUACAUAUUUUAUUUCUACGCUUUCUGAUUCUAGCUACGAAAAAACUGACGACAACACCACUGACAUCGCACUGUGGGCCAACAGUUGCUUGUAGCCGGAUAAAAAUCAAAUAUACAAAUACAUAAGCAUAGGAAAUUUUGCGUUAAAAUAAUAAUCAUAAUUAUAUAAUUAUAAUCAAGUGACUGCAGAUUCAGAAAUAAAAUAAAUUCGAUGCCGGA